Bombus terrestris (buff-tailed bumblebee) is the source of this 2779-nucleotide long non-coding RNA. RefSeq lists it as uncharacterized. The transcript is spliced from 3 exons. The record is from RefSeq and is a predicted model, not a curated record. NCBI's taxonomy places the organism in Eukaryota, Metazoa, Arthropoda, Insecta, Hymenoptera, Apidae.
AGUAAUCUACGUUGUACGUCCUCGGUGUCUGUACGAAGCAAUAAAGCCCGUCAUUUCUCAUCCGUACCCGAGGAUGCAAGAUGAUCGACAGAGAUCUCGAGAUCGAGUUGGAAAGGCUAAUCGUUGUAUAAGAAACAGAUGCGACGACGGAACUCGUAUAGUACGCAACUUCGAAAACGAGGAGGGUUAUUUCGUCACCCAUUUUAUCAGAAGCUGAGAUAGUCGACACGGUUGGCAAGGUUGCCGCUAGUAGACACGCUCGAGAGAGACCCCCUUGAGCUGAAGGAUACUCGAGAAAGCAUGUACGAGACCUUCCGCGUCUGUCUCUCCGCUUGGCUAGACGGACUUGACGACAUUUGUUAACAAAGAAGAACGACACUCGAUGAUCCGCGUGGUCGAGUUUCGAGAGACACGCAGAAGAGGCAGAAAAGAGUGGCGGCAUCAAAAUUCGCGUGAUAGGCGAAUCAAUUCGAUUCGCUGAUAUACAAACGUGUCGUUCGAUUCCACUGGUUGCGAUUGUUUUUCUCGAAAGCCGUGUGUGAAAGGAGGCUGCGGUCGGUAAACCGCCCUACGGUAUGUUUCCAAGUGGCAACCUCUUUCCCAACUCUCGAACAAACGGUGAAAGCGAACAAAGUGGAAUCACCGCUUAAAACAAAUUGCUUCUGUAAAUACCGGUCGGAUCUCCGAGCAGCCUGUCUAACGUUCAACGUCUGUUUCUACCUCCACGGUUUGCCAACACGAGAAUCUCUUUCCUUCGAUGGUUUAUCGAAGACACUGAUUAAGGCUAGAACCCUCGACACGGCCGGAUCUUUCCGAAAUUUUAGACGUUCGAUACAAGAGGCUAAUGGAAAACAUCGCUCGUUAAAGGUUUACUCUACAAACCGAUACAUUUUCCAUAUGUAAUACGAACGACGUUUAAUCAUCAAAGCGUUCUAUCGCGUGGGACCAAUUUCUACUUUGAAACGUGUCGUACAAAAUUAAUUUCGAAGCGCGAUGGUUUCGAUCGAUGAUAAUUUUCGCGUUACCGUUUACUCGGAUCAACGAGAGCAGAUGAAAUAACGAGAGAAGAAAUAAUGCGAGAGGAUAAAGCGAACCGAAAGGCAAGAAAAAGUCAGAGAGGAUAGGAAAACUUGUUACCUCAAAUCCCAAAGUAGCAUGGGCGCUAAUGUAAUAUACAUUCAUGAGCACCAAAUCAACCCUUUCCAUUGUCCAACAAAAUUUGCCAGAGAACACAAUGAAGACCAUCCCAUCUAACACCUCUACCUACUUCAUCUGCUUUUCUCUUGUAUCCUUUUCGCUACCUUUAUCCCCGGGCUUCGUCUGUCUCUUCCUUUUUACUCCUCCCCUCUAUUUCCUCUUUCUCGGCCCGCACUAGUCAUACGUUAACUCGGAAUGCCUCGUAGAUUUAUUCGCAGCAUGUAAUUGGUCCAUUUCUCUCGAGAUUCUUGUCGCCCAAAGCUUUAAGUUUUACUUCGCGCUUUAACUGUAUUUGAAAUAGCAGCAAGGUGAAAAUUUCGCCGUAGGACACGAUUCUUUAGAUUCCUAUUUACGUAGUUUUCCGUCGUGAAUCGAUUAUAACUUGGACGUCGAUUGACGCGUUGGUAGAGAUAUCUUCCUCCUCCUCUUCGUACAAAUAAAUUUUACAUCUUGACAGACACCUUCCUCUUUUCUCCUGUUCUUCCCGAUCUUUCUUUCUUCUUUCUUAUUAUCGCAAUAUCAGAAUGAAUUAAUCUAUAAAUGCUCGGAUCAUACUAAAUUCAUACCGAGGAUCUUGUUGACGAUACCCGACAAUUACUAAUGGGAAACAUUGCUCGCUCGUUUAUCUCUUAUUUCCUACUUGUUCCUGCAUUCUGUCUAGACUCGUUCCACCGGAAAGUUAAGCUUAUUGAUCACGCGCUCAAUUACUUCACCGAAGCUUUCCAGAUACUCAGCAACGACCAUUCCAUUUGCAUUUCUUGCAUUUCUCGCUAUUGAGUUUUUCCUUUUUCGUUUGUUACUUCUUUUGAUCGCUUCGUUAACGAUUUCACCAACCGCGGAUCUUUUUCAAAUCGAACAGCAGAUUGCUAAUGAACGUUCAUUCGCGAUCGAAUUCACUUUCCAUUUCCGACAGUUCAUCGUUUGCGAACUAUUCGAAAGUUGCACUUGCAAUAAAUGGAAUAUACGAAUCCUUGAUCUGUAGCUGGAAGAUCGUAACGUAAGAUAAAAAUCUGAUACAAAUAAAAAAAAGAGAAUGAUAUUUUUGUAAUGAAAACUAAAGUUUUGUUACGGUCUGAAGAGUUGGACUAUACAUAAACCCAGUCGACGUUACGGGAUUGAUUCUUCUUCUUCUUCUUCCUCUUCCUCUUCCACUUCUUUCACCUCUUCUUCUGCCUUUUCUCCUUGAAAGAAAAGUUCCGACUAACGGACCCGGCUUCCCUCCGGGAGUUUUAUUACGCUGGAGACGCGCUUAUCCUAGCCACAGAUUCGCGCCAACAUAUCCUCGGCUGUCGAUAAGUCUACGACCGUACGAGAAAAAAGGACGACGACGGAAAGAAAAAAGCAAGUAGAAAUAACUGAAGAGUACGGUAAGAACAGAUUCCAGAAUCGUUUCUUAUCGGAUACUAGAUUUUAUAUUUCUUCGUUUCCUCUAUCGUUUCGUAAAUACUUGCUAGUUACCGUCAUCGAUCCGACUGCGAAUUCGAUCGCGUGUAACAAAACGAACGAACGAAAGAUCGAUAGAGCGACUAAUAGAAAAGCCGUUUCCCGAAUGGAAGAAAACACUGUAUACAUAUAGAGAAAC